Molecule: long non-coding RNA, 347 nt
Organism: Salvelinus sp. IW2-2015
Lineage: Eukaryota; Metazoa; Chordata; Actinopteri; Salmoniformes; Salmonidae
Source: RefSeq, a predicted model, not a curated record
GGGAGGCCCCAGGAACUACUGGGAGGAAACAUGUGGCAGGGGCCUCCGGGACCACCAGGUCCUCCUGGCCCUCCUGGGCCACAGGGCUUCGUCGGCAUCCCAGGGCCCCAGGGUAUCCCUGGCAACGACGGUGUAACAGGGCAGCCGGGUCUGCCUGGGAAAACUGUAAGUAAACAGACAGUAAGGGGGAGUCACUUCCAUUUAAAUUCAGACACUUCAGAAAGUGGAAAAAAUKAUGCUCAUUGUCAAUGAAUAUCAAUGACACUUUCUGAUUCUAGAAUUCAUUAGCUGAAUUGUCUAAAUUGAAAUGGAUUUGACCCCAACCCAUACAUUAGGAGGCGGAGCUG